RNAcentral lists this ribosomal RNA (465 nucleotides) under Vreelandella stevensii. RNAcentral describes it as "partial 16S ribosomal RNA". It matches the Rfam family "Bacterial small subunit ribosomal RNA", at positions 338 to 795 of the family's 1533-position model. Lineage: Bacteria; Pseudomonadati; Pseudomonadota; Gammaproteobacteria; Oceanospirillales; Halomonadaceae. The record is from RNAcentral.
CCUACGGGUGGCUGCAGUGGGGAAUAUUGGACAAUGGGGGCAACCCUGAUCCAGCCAUGCCGCGUGUGUGAAGAAGGCCCUCGGGUUGUAAAGCACUUUCAGUGAGGAAGAAGGCCUGGUGGUUAAUACCCAUCAGGAAAGACAUCACUCACAGAAGAAGCACCGGCUAACUCCGUGCCAGCAGCCGCGGUAAUACGGAGGGUGCGAGCGUUAAUCGGAAUUACUGGGCGUAAAGCGCGCGUAGGUGGCUUGAUAAGCCGGUUGUGAAAGCCCCGGGCUCAACCUGGGAACGGCAUCCGGAACUGUCAAGCUAGAGUGCAGGAGAGGAAGGUAGAAUUCCCGGUGUAGCGGUGAAAUGCGUAGAGAUCGGGAGGAAUACCAGUGGCGAAGGCGGCCUUCUGGACUGACACUGACACUGAGGUGCGAAAGCGUGGGUAGCAAACAGGAUUAGAUACCCUUGUAGUC